UUAUGGUCAUAUCACUUUGAAAUAGCUGUUCUCGUACGAUCACCGAAGUUAAGCAACGAUGAGCCAGGUCAGUACCUAGAUGAAUGACCGCUUGGGAAUACCAACGGCUGUAA
Non-coding RNA from Acanthosepion pharaonis, 113 nucleotides. Lineage: Eukaryota; Metazoa; Mollusca; Cephalopoda; Sepiida; Sepiidae. The record is from the annotation of a GenBank genome assembly.